AGUCGAACGAUGAAGCCGGGGCUUGCUCUGGUGGAUUAGUGGCGAACGGGUGAGUAACACGUGAGCAACCUGCCCUGGACUCUGGGAUAAUCGCUGGAAACAGCGUCUAAUACUGGAUACAAGACGUGGCCGCAUGGUCAACGUUUGGAAAGAUUUUUCGGUCUGGGAUGGGCUCGCGGCCUAUCAGCUUGUUGGUGAGGUAAUGGCUCACCAAGGCGUCGACGGGUAGCCGGCCUGAGAGGGUGACCGGCCACACUGGGACUGAGACACGGCCCAGACUCCUACGGGAGGCAGCAGUGGGGAAUAUUGCACAAUGGGCGCAAGCCUGAUGCAGCAACGCCGCGUGAGGGAUGACGGCCUUCGGGUUGUAAACCUCUUUUAGCAGGGAAGAAGCGAAAGUGACGGUACCUGCAGAAAAAGCGCCGGCUAACUACGUGCCAGCAGCCGCGGUAAUACGUAGGGCGCAAGCGUUAUCCGGAAUUAUUGGGCGUAAAGAGCUCGUAGGCGGUUUGUCACGUCUGCUGUGAAAUCCCUAGGCUCAACCUCGGGCCUGCAGUGGGUACGGGCAGACUAGAGUGCGGUAGGGGAGAUUGGAAUUCCUGGUGUAGCGGUGGAAUGCGCAGAUAUCAGGAGGAACACCGAUGGCGAAGGCAGAUCUCUGGGCCGUAACUGACGCUGAGGAGCGAAAGGUUGGGGAGCAAACAGGCUUAGAUGCCCUGGUAGUCCACCCCGUAAACGUUGGGAACUAGUUGUGGGGUC
RNAcentral lists this ribosomal RNA (759 nucleotides) under Microbacterium resistens. Its description in RNAcentral is "bacterial SSU rRNA". It matches the Rfam family "Bacterial small subunit ribosomal RNA", at positions 60 to 829 of the family's 1533-position model. Lineage: Bacteria; Bacillati; Actinomycetota; Actinomycetes; Micrococcales; Microbacteriaceae. The record is from RNAcentral.